GAUGAACGCUAGCUACAGGCUUAACACAUGCAAGUCGCGGGGCAGCAUGGGGGUUGCUUGCAAUCCCCGAUGGCGACCGGCGCACGGGUGAGUAACGCGUAUCCAACCUGCCCUUCACCACGGGAUAACCCGGCGAAAGUCGGACUAAUACCGUAUGUUGUCCAUUGACGGCAUCCGAUUUGGACGAAAGGUUUGGCGGUGAAGGAUGGGGAUGCGUCCGAUUAGCUGGACGGCGGGGUGACGGCCCACCGUGGCGACGAUCGGUAGGGGUUCUGAGAGGAAGGGCCCCCACACUGGAACUGGGACACGGUCCAGACUCCUACGGGAGGCAGCAGUGAGGAAUAUUGGUCAAUGGGCGUAAGCCUGAACCAGCCAAGUAGCGUGCAGGAUGACGGCCCUAUGGGUUGUAAACUGCUUUUAUGCGGGGAUAAAGUGGCCCACGUGUGGGUUUUUGCAGGUACCGCAUGAAUAAGGACCGGCUAAUUCCGUG
Molecule: ribosomal RNA, 490 nt
Filed under: uncultured bacterium
Lineage: Bacteria
Description: partial 16S ribosomal RNA
Rfam family: Bacterial small subunit ribosomal RNA
Source: RNAcentral